This is an RNA transcript of Tarenaya hassleriana, 1472 nucleotides long. RefSeq lists it as uncharacterized. The transcript has 7 exons. The record is from RefSeq and is a predicted model, not a curated record. Lineage: Eukaryota; Viridiplantae; Streptophyta; Magnoliopsida; Brassicales; Cleomaceae.
ACGUAAGUGCAAAUCGAAGAGAGGGAGAGAUUACAAUGGAGGAUCUGUGGAAGAGAGCGAAAAACUUCGCGGAGGAAGCAGCGAAGAAAUCUCAGACCCUAACCUUACCUUCUUCUUCGACGACCUUCGCCAAUCUCGUCGCCGAGACCGCGAAGAAAUCCAAGGAACUCGCUCUCGAGGCCUCGAAGAAAGCCGAUCAGCUCAAGGUCUCCGAUCUUGUCGCCGAGACGGCGAAGAAAUCGAAGGAGUUCGCUGCCGAAGCUUCUAAGAAGGCGGAUCAACUCAAAGCUGCCGCGUUGAAACAAGCUGAUCAGAUCCAUAACAUCAAGUCGAUCGCCGACAUUAUCCCUCCUAAGCUUGCUUCCUUUGGAUCCGGAUCCGGAUCCGGGUCCGGGUCCGGGUCCGCCUUCUCGGAUUCUGAGCUUCUAAGGUUCGGCAUUACGGAUGAUCUUCGCGAGUUCGUCAAAGGAUUGACCUCUGCGACGUUUCAGGCUUUCCCCGUCCAAGAUGAACCUGAAACCAAACCAGAAGUUUCUGAUGCGCCGACAACACCGUCGAAUGUCCGGAAGGAUCUGUCGGAGUGGCAGGAGAGACAUGCCACCCUCGUUCUGGCAUCCGUUAAGCAAAUCUCGAAGUUGAGAUACGAAUUGUGUCCGCGAGUCAUGAAAGAAAAGAGGUUCUGGAGGAUAUACUUUACACUAGUGAGCACUCAUAUUUCACCAUAUGAGAAGAAGUACAUGGAGGAACUUAAGAUCAAAGCGGAGUCUAAAGAUGAAGCAGCGAAGAAAACCCUAAUGGUAGGAGAGACAGAAGCUGUGGAAAAGAAUGUGAAGAGAACAUCUACUUCAUCAUCAUCAGCCGAGCAGGAUCUGGAUUCAUUCCUCUUGGGAGAUCUUGAAGAUAGCGAUGGAGGUCCUGAUGAUUACGGUGAUGAAAGCCUGGAUGAUGAUUUUGGCAAGAUCGGGAACUCCGACGAUGAAGACGGGAAGCAUUCUACGAAAACAACAAACGCAAGCGCGGCAAACUAGGAUUAUAUAACACCAUAUUGCGAAUUUUCCGGUGAUAUGAUCGUAAUAUAGAUGAAACGAGCAGGACUCUGACUCUUGAAUCCGCCAAACGUGUCCGAGGGUCUGAUCAGGGACAAAAGUGGUCUAUUGGACUUCCCAAGGCUCAAAUCAAUACCGAUUGCAAUAUAAUAAGCCCAAGCCUGGUUUGGAUCCUGAGCCUGUAGAUUUUAUUGGCCCACUACUCUCCGUCGACUCUUGAAUCCGCCAAAUGAAUCCGGGGGUCUGAUCAGCGACAAGGUCUAUUGGGAUUGAUAAGGCCCAGUAUUGAUUACAAUGCAAUAAACCGAAGCCUGAUUUGGAUCCUAGGCCUGUAGGUUCUGCGCUAAGGGCCCCUCUCUCUCUCAUUAUGCUGUAUAUUAAUUAAUUUCUUUAAUUUUAAAAAUUAUUAUAUUAUCACGAUUGUUU